This 823-nucleotide ribosomal RNA is filed under the name uncultured archaeon. RNAcentral's name for it is "bacterial SSU rRNA". It matches the Rfam family "Archaeal small subunit ribosomal RNA", at positions 1 to 803 of the family's 1478-position model. The record is from RNAcentral.
UUCCGGUUGAUCCCGCCGGACCCCACUGCUAUCGAGAUGGGACUAAGGUAUGCUAGUCGAACGACCAGAACUAUGUCUGGGAGUGGCACACUGCUCAGUAACACGUAGCUAACCUACCCUUAGGACGUGGAUACCCCCGAGAAAUUGGGGUUAAUCCGCGAUAGAUGUAAUGUCCUGGAAUGGUAUUACGCCUAAAGGUGUAUCAUACAUGUUUGAUAUACGCCUAAGGAUGGGGCUGCGGCCGAUCAGGCUGUUGGUGAGGUAAUGGCUCACCAAACCUUUGACCGGUACGGGCCAUGAGAGUGGUAGCCCGGAGAUGGACACUGAGACAAGGGUCCAGGCCCUAAGGGGCGCAGCAACCGCGAAACCUCCACAAUGCACUCACGUGCGAUGGGGCUAUCUCGAGUGCCACCUGAUGAAGGUGGCUUUUCCUAGGUCUUCAAAGCCUUGGGAAUAAGAGGGGGGCAAGACUGGUGUCAGCCGCCGCGGUAACACCAGCCCCUCGAGUGGUGGGGAUGAUUAUUUGGCCUAAAGCGUCCGUAGCCGGCCGAGCAAGUCUUCCGUUAAAUCCAGCGUCUUAAGCGUUGGACUGCGGGAGAUACUACACGGCUAGAGAGUGGGAGAGGUCAGCGGUAUUCUGGGGGUAGGGGCGAAAUCCUUUGAUCCCCGGAGGACCACCAGUGGCGAAGGCUGCUGACUAGAACACGUCUGACGGUCAGGGACGAAAGCUGGGGUAGCGAACCGGAUUAGAUACCCGGGUAGUCCCAGCCGUAAACGAUGCAUGCUAGGUGUUGGGGUUGGGCCACGAGCCACCCCAGUGCCG